CUACGGGAGGCUGCAGUGGGGAAUAUUGCACAAUGGAGGAAACUCUAAUGCAGCAACGCCGCGUGGAGGAUGACACUUUUCGGAGCGUAAACUCCUUUUAUAUAGGAAGAAGAUGACGGUACUAUAUGAAUAAGCGCCGGCUAACUCCGUGCCAGCAGCCGCGGUAAUACGGAGGGCGCAAGCGUUACUCGGAAUCACUGGGCGUAAAGAGCGUGUAGGCGGAUUAAAGAGUCAGAAGUGAAAUCCUAUAGCUUAACUAUAGAACUGCUUCUGAAACUCUUAAUCUAGAAUAUGGGAGAGGUAGAUGGAAUUUCUGGUGUAAGGGUAAAAUCCGUAGAGAUCAGAAGGAAUACCGAUUGCGAAGGCGAUCUACUAGAACAUUAUUGACGCUGAGACGCGAAAGCGUGGGGAGCAAACAGGAUUAGAUACCCCCGUAGUC
Molecule: ribosomal RNA, 439 nt
Filed under: uncultured bacterium
Lineage: Bacteria
Description: partial 16S ribosomal RNA
Rfam family: Bacterial small subunit ribosomal RNA
Source: RNAcentral